This is a long non-coding RNA of Manacus vitellinus (golden-collared manakin), 167 nucleotides long. RefSeq lists it as uncharacterized. The record is from RefSeq and is a predicted model, not a curated record. The transcript is spliced from 3 exons. NCBI's taxonomy places the organism in Eukaryota, Metazoa, Chordata, Aves, Passeriformes, Pipridae.
UCAGAACAGCAAAGCACCAGCUUCCAGAAUUAUGGACAGAAGUACAAAAAGCAGAGGAGCUUCUUUAUUGUCCUGCUGAGGCUUCAGUCCAACUCUAGACCCUGGUUUCCUGUGGAUAGUGUUAAAUUUAGCAUUCAGCUCAAUUCCAUUUCCAUUCACCUUCAGAC